GAAAUAACAGGAGAAGUAAGCUAUUUGUUGGCUUUUUGUGGGUUAGACAUCUAGCAAUAAUUUCUUAAAUUAUUCUUUUCCAAAACAUCAGUCAUUAGUCCCUAUCUUCAGCUGCUUGAGGUUCUUUAGUAAAUCAGAAGGGUUACAAAAGGAAAGAGGACAAGAGAAGAUGAUUUUCUUAGUCAAAAAUCAAGAAAAAUUCAGCUAUGAAGAGAUGAAGUAGUGAUAAGUUGGUUUGAAAGAGGGAAGUAGUUGAUUUUG
RNAcentral lists this long non-coding RNA (261 nucleotides) under Elaeis guineensis (African oil palm). RNAcentral describes it as "long non-coding RNA (EGUI_LNC052736)". Lineage: Eukaryota; Viridiplantae; Streptophyta; Magnoliopsida; Arecales; Arecaceae. The record is from RNAcentral.